RNAcentral lists this microRNA precursor (226 nucleotides) under Podarcis lilfordi (Lilford's wall lizard). The record is from RNAcentral. Lineage: Eukaryota; Metazoa; Chordata; Lepidosauria; Squamata; Lacertidae.
UGCAGCGAAGCCGGAGGAGGAACAGAAGGGUCUCCUUCUGUUCCUUCUCCAGCUUCGCUGAAGGGCGCUACGCCUUCUCCCUCUCUGCACAGCGCCUCUCCUUCACAGGAGAGGCGCUGCGCGGAGAGAGAGAAGGCACAGCGCCCCUUCAGCAACGCGCCUGUCAUGCGAAGCCGGAGGAGGAGCAGAAGGGUCUCCUUCUGCUCCUUCUCCCGCUUCGCAGUGA